Molecule: transfer RNA, 70 nt
Filed under: Camelus bactrianus (Bactrian camel)
Lineage: Eukaryota; Metazoa; Chordata; Mammalia; Artiodactyla; Camelidae
Also listed under: 2 other names
Rfam family: tRNA
About the family: Transfer RNA (tRNA) molecules are approximately 80 nucleotides in length.
Source: Rfam by way of RNAcentral
GGGAAUGGCUCAGUGGUAGAGCAUGUGCUUAGCAUGCACGAGGUCCUGGAUUCAAUCCCCAGCAUCUCCA